Molecule: ribosomal RNA, 433 nt
Filed under: uncultured bacterium
Lineage: Bacteria
Description: partial 16S ribosomal RNA
Rfam family: Bacterial small subunit ribosomal RNA
Source: RNAcentral
AACGAACGCUGGCGGCAUGCCUAACACAUGCAAGUCGAACGAACCCUUCGGGUCUUUUGGCGCACGGGUUCGUAACGCGUGGGAACCUUCCCUUAGGUUCGGAAUAACUCCCCGAAAGGGGUGCUAAUACCGGAUAAUGUCUUCGAACCAAAGAUUUAUCGCCUUUGGAUGUGCCCGCGUUGGAUUAGCUAGUUGGUAGGGUAAAAGCCUACCAAGGCGACGAUCCAUAGCUUGUCUGAGAGGAUGCUCAGCCACACUGGGACUGAGACACGGCCCAGACUCCUACGGGAAGCAGGAGUGGGGAAUAGUGGAAAAUGGGCGAAAGGAUGAUGCAGCAAUGCCGGGUGAGUGAUGAAGGCCGUAGGGUUGUAAAGCGCAUGUACCCGGGAUGAUAAUGACAGUACCGGGAGAAUAAGCUCCGGCUAACUCCGUG